RNAcentral lists this long non-coding RNA (792 nucleotides) under Marmota monax (woodchuck). The record is from RNAcentral. Lineage: Eukaryota; Metazoa; Chordata; Mammalia; Rodentia; Sciuridae.
CAUUCUUGCAUUAACACAGAAGAUUUUGGGGGACACCUCAUAUCCAAACCAUAACAGAUGGUUUGAGGAAAAAACUCCUCUCCAUCCUUUCCUUCCACCUCAGAUGUGUUUCCAUCAUUCAUAAUGAUGCCUUUUUCAUUAAUUGAGGGCGGUAGGGGUGGGACACUGUUAAAAGGUAGUAGAUUUAAGAUCUAGGCUCCUUACCCUGACCCUUUAUCUCUUUGAAAAACUGUAAGUCCUGUCAGACCUCACUGCUGAUCUUGCUCUUCACUCUCCUAUGAAUCAUCUUAGAAAUAACAGGAAAUUACUCAUAACUUCAGAGAGGCCCCCAGUUAACCACAGCAUUGCUCUGCUCCACCACAGGAGUAGGGCCACCCAAUGGUUUAACAAAAGUUCAGCAUUUCUGUACCAAAAAGGAACACAUUGCCAUUUGUUUGGGAGAGGAUGGUAAAAUCAUAGCAAGGCUUCUUUCCCCCACACAACAAAGCAGAAAUCAAUAGCUAUUUGAGUAUUUCCCCAUCAUAAUCCAACCAUCAAUAAGUCUCUGGGUAAGAGUGUGUUGUUACAAAGCAUUUGCCCAUUAAUGAUGCUUCAUCUCCUGACACCAUUGUAAAGAUGUUCUGUAAACAGAAGACAAUGAGCAUGCCUAGCUUUUCUCUCCCACUGUUUUCCAAACCAUCCUAAUGCAGGAGCUCCCAAAUUUAUAACUCUCAGCAAGACAAAGCCUGCUUCCCAGCUGCAGAAACCCACUCUGAGUUGGGUGUGAGCAGUACACUGUGUUGGUACUUUCAC